This is a long non-coding RNA of Equus asinus (donkey), 2666 nucleotides long. The record is from Ensembl. NCBI's taxonomy places the organism in Eukaryota, Metazoa, Chordata, Mammalia, Perissodactyla, Equidae.
CCCUGAAAGCUCUUGUUUAACAAACGUUUGUAUUUUUAUCUUCAUGUAAAUUGUCUUCCUCCCUUUUGAAGACCCAAACCACUACCCCCAACAUCCUCCUUUGUCUUUCAUUAAACAUAGUAUUUAAGUUCUUGGACCAGCCAGAAGAACCCAGAGGGUAGAGGAAUUGUCUUCCUUCCCUUCCUUUCCUGAUGAAGGUGGGAUAAAACUUAACUGGCUGGAUGCUGCUCGCUCCUGGACUACUGCAACUGAGAGAUCCUGGACCUCUGACAAGAGCUGACAGAAGAAAUUCUUUUUAUUAAAUACCUGAUUGCUUGCUUACACAAUAUAAGCCCAGCUUUGAGAGCCUACCUGCAUCACCACCUUCUGAAAUGAAUUUAACUGAAUUAUUAUCAGCACUAAAAGACCUAUUCAGUGACAUGGAACAAUCUAUCAACUCAGCUUCUGGACUGUGAAACCUCUUAAAGUUUCAAAGGUGGGAGUGUGGGGGAUCAGAAUUGGUCACCCCAAAAUGUGUCUCCUUGGCUUGAUUAUUUUUAAGAACAAAAAACUCUGAGAGAAAUUUUGGCUUUCCUCCUAGCUGCCUGAAAGAAUCAGUCCAGGAAGAAGCUGAUACCAUAAGAUAACCAUAGUAUAAUUUAAAGUAGGUGUGAUACAAAGGCACCAACAAGCGCUUUUUUUAAUCAAAGCUUUGCCUAUACAUGGCUGUGCAAACACUUGUUUAUCAAACAUUUGCAUUUUGUCUCCAUGUAAAUUGUCUUCUUCCUCUUUGAAGACCCAAACCACUACCCACCACACUCCAUUGUCUUUAGCUGAAGAUGGUAUUUAAGGUGGUGGCUUUGGCUUUUCUGGUGAGUUACUCAGUUUUCCUAUGUAUGCAUGUUAUUAUACAUGGGGUUUCUCCCAUGUGUACGGUUACUAAAAUUUGUUUCAUAUCUAUCAUUAUUCUGUCUCAUGUUAAUUUAAUUCUUGGACCAACCAGAAGGGCCUAGAGGGCAGAGGAAUUGUCUUCCUCCCUUACAAUGGCUCAAGUCUAGACUGGGUUAGGUGCCCACCCCGUCCCUGAAUGUCUUGGCUUCCAGGGCUCACCUCUUUCAUUGCACUCAAAUCCCUUUUUCUCUCUUCUUCAGUAGGCAGAGACCCUUGAGAGAAGGGAUUUCUCUUGUUCAUCUCUGUAAACCAUGCAGCACAGUGCCUGACUUGGUGAAUACUCAGAAAUUGUCUUCUGAUUCCAUUUUAAAGAUGUGGUAUCUUAUGUUCAGAGAGGAUAAGCUAGAAAGUGAGAGAGCAUUGGCCAGAACUCACAUCUUCUCAACUCCUAGUCCCAUGCUCUUUCUCUGGCACCAGGCUGCUUUAUGGAAUACUACCUCACAUUGGUUUAGUGGAGCACAGUACCAGUAGUUGCAAACAAAUUGAUUUUUAACAUUAGCCUGAGUUAGGCAUGGUUGGGAAGAUAAAUUUGUUGUGAUUUGCUUCAUACCAUGAAAUGUAUUCUAAAGCUGAGUAGAAAUGAGUCUCAUGUUGCCUACUUAUUUGGAGUAUUCAAAUCACAUUCUUUUCACAAACAUGUGUAAUCAAGGAUCAAUUGUGCCUCUGCAGAGGAGUUCUAGAAUUCCCAGGCUGGGAGAGACUCCAAGGAUCAUAUAUUCACUCCCUUGGGUGUUCAGAUGAAAGAGUCUAGAAAGAUCCAGAUAGGUUUCACAACUUGGCAAAGGCAACAUACUUCAAAGGGACAUACAAGAAAUCAAGCAUCCUAAUCCUAGGCCAGUGAUAUUGUUUAAUACACUGGGCAAAUACUCAGUCUUCUUUUGCUUUUUAUUCUGACAUUUAUUAUUUGAAAGUGUCUCUGGGUAUCCUCUCAGUCCCACCAUGAAGAGUGACCUCCUUUCCUGAGGUGGCCAUAGAGUGGCCUGAGCAGCCUGGAAUUUUUUCUCUGUAUGGAUUUUCACUGUUGUGUGAGAUCCUCCUCUGUGGGAAGGGGGAGGGACAAGCACAGGGCAGGCGUGUCCUGAAGUUCAGUUCUUCCUGGAAGGAGGCCAGGCCAUGUUCUCAGUGCCAGGUAAGCUCAUUCUCAGGGAGGAACAGAGGUAGGAACAGUGUGUGGGGACUGGGUUUACCAUGAUUUUGUACAGUCCUGUCUGGGUCCAGGUCUCAUGUUUGGAGGCUCAGAGUACCUUGAGAAAAUUUAUGGGAUACAAAGCCAAGAAAUGAAAUUGAAAUUAGACAAGAGUAUCUUCCAGGAUUGGAAUAUUUUGGAUUUCAACUUUGAACUAACUUUAUUUAUUUCCACUCCAUGAACCUUGUAUUGAUAUGUAAUUUUUGUGAGUUACACCUAAAUUGUAGAGUAUUUGAAGGAGAAUGCCACUCUUGGAGAAACUCAAAUCAUGCACAGGUAGGAGCAUCUAAAAAUCAUCAGGUAGUGGAGACAAGGAAGGGAGAUACUGGGGGUGUUUGAUCAUAACCUUCAGCCAUCUUUUAGGAGAGAGCUUGAUUAUUAGAAUACAACUGAAUUCCCAUGUCUGUUUAUGCAUUGUAUCUAUGGCAAUAUGUUGGUUUGAUUGAAAUAUAUGACAAAAACCUGGUCUUACAUAGAUAUGGAGUUCAUAAAGAGAUGUUAGUUGCAAUGUAAGAUGUUAAUAAACUUUUCAUAUUCUGUGACAUUAAAA